UACGGGGGGGGCAAGCGUUGUUCGGAAUUACUGGGCGUAAAGGGCUCGUAGGUGGCCAACUAAGUCGGACGUGAAAUCCCUCGGCUUAACCGGGGAACUGCGUCCGAUACUGGUUGGCUUGAGUUUGGGAGAGGGAUGUAGAAUUCCAGGUGUAGCGGUGAAAUUCGUAGAUAUCGGGAGGAACACCGGUGGCGAAGGCGGCAUCCUGGACCAUUACUGACACUGAAAAGCGAAAGCCAGGGGAGCAAACGGG
RNAcentral lists this ribosomal RNA (253 nucleotides) under uncultured bacterium. RNAcentral describes it as "partial 16S ribosomal RNA". It matches the Rfam family "Bacterial small subunit ribosomal RNA", at positions 524 to 776 of the family's 1533-position model. The record is from RNAcentral.